This 177-nucleotide ribosomal RNA is filed under the name uncultured Bacillus sp. RNAcentral describes it as "partial 16S ribosomal RNA". It matches the Rfam family "Bacterial small subunit ribosomal RNA", at positions 1206 to 1382 of the family's 1533-position model. Lineage: Bacteria; Bacillati; Bacillota; Bacilli; Caryophanales; Bacillaceae. The record is from RNAcentral.
GCUCUGGGCUACACACGUGCUACAAUGGCCGGUACAGACGGACGCAAAGCCGCGAGGUGGAGCAAAUCCUAAAAAGCCGGUCUCAGUUCGGAUUGCAGGCUGCAAUUCGCCUGCAUGAAGUCGGAAUCGCUAGUAAUCGCAGGUCAGCAUACUGCGGUGAAUACGUUCCCGGGCCUU